GAUGAAGAACGUAGCGAAAUGCGAUACGUAAUGUGAAUUGCAGAAUUCAGUGAAUCAUCGAAUCUUUGAACACAUAUUGCGCUCUUUGGUAUUCCGAAGAGCAUGCUUGUUUGAGUAUCAGUAAACACCUCAAAGCUUUUGGAUUUUUUAAUCGAAAAGCUUUGGACUUGAGCAAUCCCAACACCAAUCUUUUUGAGAUCGGUGGCGGGUUGCUUGAAAUGCAGGUGCAGCUGGACAUUCUCCUGAGCUAAAAGCAUAUUCAUUUAGUCCCGUCAAACGGAUUAUUACUUUUGCUGCAGCUAACAUAAAGGGAGUUUGACCGUAUUGGCUGACUGAUGCAGGAUUUCACAAGGGUCGGCAACGAUUCUUGUUAAACUCGAUCUCAAAUCAAGUAAGACUACCCGCUGAACUUAAGCAUAUCAAUAAGCGGAGGA
Molecule: unclassified non-coding RNA, 434 nt
Filed under: soil metagenome
Description: partial contains 5.8S ribosomal RNA, internal transcribed spacer 2, and large subunit ribosomal RNA
Rfam family: 5.8S ribosomal RNA (bases 1-120)
Source: RNAcentral